RNAcentral lists this ribosomal RNA (253 nucleotides) under uncultured bacterium. RNAcentral describes it as "partial 16S ribosomal RNA". It matches the Rfam family "Bacterial small subunit ribosomal RNA", at positions 524 to 776 of the family's 1533-position model. The record is from RNAcentral.
UACGGAGGGGGCUAGCGUUGUUCGGAAUUACUGGGCGUAAAGCGCACGUAGGCGGCUUGGUAAGUUAGAGGUGAAAGCCCGGGGCUCAACCCCGGAAUUGCCUUUAAGACUGCAUCGCUUGAAUCCAGGAGAGGUGAGUGGAAUUCCGAGUGUAGAGGUGAAAUUCGUAGAUAUUCGGAAGAACACCAGUGGCGAAGGCGGCUCACUGGACUGGUAUUGACGCUGAGGUGCGAAAGCGUGGGGAGCAAACAGG